This 396-nucleotide ribosomal RNA is filed under the name uncultured bacterium. RNAcentral's name for it is "partial 16S ribosomal RNA". It matches the Rfam family "Bacterial small subunit ribosomal RNA", at positions 523 to 918 of the family's 1533-position model. The record is from RNAcentral.
AUACGUAGGUGGCAAGCGUUGUCCGGAUUUACUGGGUGUAAAGGGCGUGUAGGCGGAGAUGCAAGUCAGGAGUGAAAUCUAGGGGCUCAACCCCUAAACUGCUUUUGAAACUGUAUCCCUUGAGUAUCGGAGAGGCAGACGGGAUUCCUAGUGUAGCGGGGGAAUGAGUAGAUAUUAGGAGGAACACCAGUAGCGGAGGCGGCCUGCUGGACCACAACUGACGCUGAGGCGCGAAAGCGUGGGGAGCAAACAGGAUUAGAAUCCCUGAUAGUCCACGCUGUAAACGAUGAAUACUAGGUGUGGGGGGACUGACCCCCUCCGUGCCGCAGUUAACACCAUAAGUAUUCCCCCUGGGGAGUACGAUCGCAAGAUUGAAACUCAAAUGAAUUGACGGGG